RNAcentral lists this ribosomal RNA (381 nucleotides) under uncultured eukaryote. RNAcentral's name for it is "SSU rRNA". It matches the Rfam family "Eukaryotic small subunit ribosomal RNA", at positions 587 to 972 of the family's 1831-position model. The record is from RNAcentral.
AGCUCCAAUAGCGUAUAUUCAAGUUGUUGCAGUUAAAAAGCUCGUAGUUGAAUUUUGGGCCUGGCUAGGCGGUUUAGCCGCAAGGUUAGCACUGCUUUGGUUGGGCCUUUCCUUCUGGGGAACUAGCGUGCGCUUUAUUGAGUGCGUUAGGGAUCCAGGACUGUUACUUUGAAAAAAUUAGAGUGUUUAAAACAGGCUUAUGCUUGAAUACAUUAGCAUGGAAUAACGGAAUAGGACUUUGUUUCUAUUUUGUUGGUUUUCAGAAACGAAGUAAUGAUUAAUAGGGAUAGUUGGGGGCAUUAGUAUUCCAUUGUCAGAGGUGAAAUUCUUGGAUUUAUGAAAGACUAACUUCUGCGAAAGCAUUUGCCAAGGAUGUUUUCA